GGUCGGUUAGCUCAGUGGAUUGAGCGCAGUGCUGAGAACACCGAGACCACGGGUUCGAUUCCCGUUCGGUCCC
Molecule: transfer RNA, 73 nt
Filed under: Apaloderma vittatum (bar-tailed trogon)
Lineage: Eukaryota; Metazoa; Chordata; Aves; Trogoniformes; Trogonidae
Rfam family: tRNA
About the family: Transfer RNA (tRNA) molecules are approximately 80 nucleotides in length. Their secondary structure includes four short double-helical elements and three loops (D, anti-codon, and T loops).
Source: Rfam by way of RNAcentral